RNAcentral lists this microRNA precursor (98 nucleotides) under Cinara cedri. Lineage: Eukaryota; Metazoa; Arthropoda; Insecta; Hemiptera; Aphididae. The record is from RNAcentral.
UGGGCUGCAGCGUUUCAAUCUGACCCCAUUAGGGAGUCACAUUAAUUAUAAGGACUCCCUACUAGAGUCAAUUUGAACCACAUAAGCACUACAUGAUU